UACGAGGGGGGCGAGCGUUGUUCGGAAUUAUUGGGCGUAAAGGGUGCGUAGGCGGCCUGACAAGUCUGAUGUGAAAUCCCUGGGCUCAACCCAGGGCCUGCAUCGGAAACUGUCGGGCUUGAGUAUGGGAGAGGUGAGUGGAAUUUCCGGUGUAGCGGUGAAAUGCGUAGAUAUCGGAAGGAACACCUGUGGCGAAAGCGGCUCACUGGACCAUUACUGACGCUGAGGCACGAAAGCCAGGGAGCAAACGGG
RNAcentral lists this ribosomal RNA (252 nucleotides) under uncultured bacterium. Its description in RNAcentral is "partial 16S ribosomal RNA". It matches the Rfam family "Bacterial small subunit ribosomal RNA", at positions 524 to 776 of the family's 1533-position model. The record is from RNAcentral.